UCUCUAUUGGUCAGAAGGAAAGUCAUGAUUGUUGGACAUGCUGUUGGAUUGCUUUUGGAGAAAAAUAAUGAGGAAUCAUCAUAAGACGUGGAGCCAGGGGCCUCAGAUUCAGGCUCUUUGUGGUUGUACAUCUGCCCAUCGGGCCUGUAGAAUUUUUUGUACUUUGAUUUUCUGGCUGCUCUGAUAUUAAAAUAGUGUGACUUCCCACAUAUAUCC
Molecule: long non-coding RNA, 216 nt
Filed under: Elaeis guineensis (African oil palm)
Lineage: Eukaryota; Viridiplantae; Streptophyta; Magnoliopsida; Arecales; Arecaceae
Description: long non-coding RNA (EGUI_LNC024521)
Source: RNAcentral